This 716-nucleotide ribosomal RNA is filed under the name uncultured bacterium. Its description in RNAcentral is "bacterial SSU rRNA". It matches the Rfam family "Bacterial small subunit ribosomal RNA", at positions 8 to 713 of the family's 1533-position model. The record is from RNAcentral.
AGAGUUUGAUCCUGGCUCAGAGUGAACGCUGGCGGCAGGCCUAACACAUGCAAGUCGAACGGCAGCACAGCAGUAGCAAUACUGUGGGUGGCGAGUGGCGGACGGGUGAGGAAUACAUGGGAAUCUGCCCUGUCGUGGGGGAUAACGUAGGGAAACUUACGCUAAUACCGCAUACGACCGGAAGGUGAAAGCGGCGGACCGCAAGGCGUCGCGCGACUGGAUGAGCCCAUGUCGGAUUAGCUAGUUGGCGGGGUAAAGGCCCACCAAGGCGACGAUCCGUAGCUGGUCUGAGAGGAUGAUCAGCCACACUGGAACUGAGACACGGUCCAGACUCCUACGGGAGGCAGCAGUGGGGAAUAUUGGACAAUGGGCGCAAGCCUGAUCCAGCCAUGCCGCGUGAGUGAAGAAGGCCUUCGGGUUGUAAAGCUCUUUUGUCCGGAAAGAAAAGCCUUCGGUUAAUACCCGGGGGUUCUGACGGUACCGGAAGAAUAAGCACCGGCUAACUUCGUGCCAGCAGCCGCGGUAAUACGAAGGGUGCAAGCGUUACUCGGAAUUACUGGGCGUAAAGCGUGCGUAGGUGGUUCGUUAAGUCUGAUGUGAAAGCCCUGGGCUCAACCUGGGAAUGGCAUUGGAAACUGGCGAUCUAGAGUGCGGUAGAGGGUAGUGGAAUUCCCGGUGUAGCAGUGAAAUGCGUAGAGAUCGGGAGGAACAUCUGU